GAUGAACGCUGGCGGCGUGCCUAAUACAUGCAAGUCGAGCGAACAGACGAGGAGCUUGCUCCUCUGACGUUAGCGGCGGACGGGUGAGUAACACGUCGAUAACCUACCUAUAAGACUGGGAUAACUUCGGGAAGCCGGAGCUAAUACCGGAUAAUAUAUUGAACCGCAUGGUUCAAUAGUGAAAGACGGUUUUGCUGUCACUUAUAGAUGGAUCCGCGCCGCAUUAGCUAGUUGGUAAGGUAACGGCUUACCAAGGCGACGAUGCGUAGCCGACCUGAGAGGGUGAUCGGCCACACUGGAGCUGAGACACGGUCCAGACUCCUACGGGAGGCAGCAGUAGGGAAUCUUCCGCAAUGGGCGAAAGCCUGACGGAGCAACGCCGCGUGAGUGAUGAAGGUCUUCGGAUCGUAAAACUCUGUUAUUAGGGAAGAACAAAUGUGUAAGUAACUAUGCACGUCUUGACGGUACCUAAUCAGAAAGCCACGGCUAACUACGUG
RNAcentral lists this ribosomal RNA (497 nucleotides) under uncultured bacterium. RNAcentral's name for it is "partial 16S ribosomal RNA". It matches the Rfam family "Bacterial small subunit ribosomal RNA", at positions 28 to 507 of the family's 1533-position model. The record is from RNAcentral.